AAUAGAUACCCAGGUAGUCCUAGCUGUAAACGAUGGAUACUUGGUGUGGCAAUUUUACUUUUGCCGUGCCGGAGCUAACGUGAUAAGUAUCCCGCCUGGGGAGUACGACCGCAAGGUUGAAACUUAAAGGAAUUGACGGGGACCCGCACAAGCGGUGGAGCAUGUGGUUUAAUUCGAUAGUACACGAGGAACCUUACCAGGUCUUGACAUUUAUGCGAAUUCUUUAGAAAUAGAGAAGUGCCGCAAGGAGCGCAUAAACAGGUGGUGCAUGGCUGUCGUCAGCUCGUGCCGUGAGGUGUUGGAUUAAGUUCCGCAACGAGCGCAACCCCCGCAUUUAGUUAAUUUUCUAAAUGGACAGCCUGCGAAAGCAGGAGGAAGGUGGGGAUGAGGUCAAGUCUUCACGCCCCUUAUUGACCUGGGCUACACACAUGCUACAAUGGGAAGUCAAAGGGUUGCAAAACAGUAAUGUGGAGCGAAUCCCAGAAAACUUCUCGUAGUUCGGAAUGCAGUCUGAAACUCGACUGCAUAAAGAUGG
Molecule: ribosomal RNA, 535 nt
Filed under: uncultured bacterium
Lineage: Bacteria
Description: bacterial SSU rRNA
Rfam family: Bacterial small subunit ribosomal RNA
Source: RNAcentral